UGGAACGAUGGUCUGGACUUGGUAUAUGGCAGUUUCCUAUGAAACAGUUCACUCCUAUGCAAAGUUAAGCACAUCUAAACUCAUUGUUUUCAAUGAGCUUUGGCAUGUCUAACUGCCUAGGGCUGUAAAGGUUCCUGAUCUCAAAUGAUCUCAGCACUGGACUAACUAGCUUGCUUUAAACCUGUUUGAAGAGAAUAUCCAUGGCAACCUGUGUGAUGUCAUAAGUCUUUGUGCUGGAAACACCAAAGGAGGGCCUUGCCAAGUACACAGGCAACUGAAACAGGCUGACUCCUCCAAAAGCAAGGCAAGGACCAGGAAUGGCACUGGCACACACAAAAGCUCCAAGCCUCCAUGCCUUCAACUAAGUUAUACUCCCAGUUCUGUCAAGCAACUGAGGAGUGGGCGGAAGAGAGAGGAAAAUGGAAGAUACCAAGAUGAGAGUAGGGGAAACGGAAAAGGCUUCUUCUAAGAAGAUAUCUAAUUAAUUUGGAGAGAUUUAAUCUCAACCCCUUUAAGAAGUGGCAGCGAGCUUGUAAAUCCUGCCAUCCGAUGAGCUGUGCUGUUGCAGUGUGUCAACUCAAUGUGUGGAAGGGAAAACAGAUGUGCUAAGUGGAGGGUAUGCACAAGAGUCAGAGCCCUUUCUGCUAUGAUGCCCAAACAAUGGAAUAGUUUCCCCAAAGAGGUACACCUAGCCCUGCCUGCCUCUUCUUGACGGACAGUGUGCU
Molecule: long non-coding RNA, 725 nt
Organism: Lacerta agilis (Sand lizard)
Lineage: Eukaryota; Metazoa; Chordata; Lepidosauria; Squamata; Lacertidae
Exons: 4
Source: RefSeq, a predicted model, not a curated record